Molecule: long non-coding RNA, 1013 nt
Filed under: Canis lupus familiaris (dog)
Lineage: Eukaryota; Metazoa; Chordata; Mammalia; Carnivora; Canidae
Description: lncRNA (ENSCAFG00000053900.1)
Source: RNAcentral
CAAACUACGAGCUCCCAUUGAUGAAGCUAACAGCUGUGACAUUCAGUUUGCCGAGCACCUUUCCAUUUGCAAUUUAUCUGCAUCAAAUGGUCAAUAAGUGAGAAGUUCUCUUCAGUGCAUGUAGCUUUGAUUUUAAAAGAGAAAAAAGAAAGAAAGAAAGAAAACUCCAGCCACAGGAGGAAAAACAAGUUAGCUCUUUAAUAUGAGAAUGAAGCCGGGAGAGCUGUGACGUGGCACAGCAACGACCAAGCAGGGGACUUUGAUUCCCUGAUUCCUGAGCUGUUUGAAAGGAGCGGUGGCGGCCGCCUGGGAAGCCUCUGGGCAGAGCUGCGAUGAAGCCAGCUCCUCCGGGCACCUACGUUGCUUCCUUCCCCGAGACCCGAAGGUUCUCCAGGGGCGGGUUCUCUGCCGGCCUCACUGCUUGUCAUGGAUGGAGAGCCGGCGCCCAUACAGCACCUGGACUCGGGCUGCUUGGCUUCCUGGCAGCCCCCAAGGGCCUUCUGUCCCUCACUCCACAAAGACAGGCCACUCGCGGGCGCAGAGACAAUGAGACACUUUCCAAUGUUUCAUUGAUUUAUUUUUAAGAACCCUUCACUUGUUCCAAGCACAGGCCAAUCAAGUCUCUAUUUCUGUCCGGCCCAGGGAUUACUGAAUGGCCUCUCACCCGAGGGCGAAAAGGCCCCUUUCGCGCCGGGCAGACCCCGUCCCCACCCGCCAUGGGGCGCGGUGAUCUCUCUCAAGAGCAGCGUCGCGCUCUGUUUCUGUGGGCCAACGUCUUUCUGCCACCAGGAGCCUGUCUUACAGCUUCCCUCCACUCCUUAAACCAUCACUCCGCUCUAAUUAAUAUUUCAACAGUUCUGUUUUCAAGAGGAAACGGUGCAGAAGAGAAUUUAUAAAUGCAGAGACAUCCUGUUUUGCCACAUCCAUUAACCAGAGAGAAUUGUCUCUUCAUCCUUCCCUUUAACUUGCUUUGUUAGUGCCAUAUAAUGGGUCGCACUCAAGAAGGUGUUACU